GACGAACGCUGGCGGCGUGCUUAACACAUGCAAGUCGAACGGAAAGGCCCUGCUUUUGUGGGGUGCUCGAGUGGCGAACGGGUGAGUAACACGUGAGUAACCUGCCCUUGACUUUGGGAUAACUUCAGGAAACUGGGGCUAAUACCGGAUAGGAGCUCCUGCUGCAUGGUGGGGGUUGGAAAGUUUCGGCGGUUGGGGAUGGACUCGCGGCUUAUCAGCUUGUUGGUGGGGUAGUGGCUUACCAAGGCUUUGACGGGUAGCCGGCCUGAGAGGGUGACCGGCAACAUUGGGACUGAGAUACGGCCCAGACUCCUACGGGAGGAAGCAGGGGGGAAUAUUGCACAAUGGGCGGAAGCCUGAUGCAGCAACGCCGCGUGCGGGAUGACGGCCUUCGGGUUGUAAACCGCUUUCGCCUGUGACGAAGCGUGAGUGACGGUAAUGGGUAAAGAAGCACCGGCUAACUACGUG
RNAcentral lists this ribosomal RNA (468 nucleotides) under uncultured bacterium. RNAcentral describes it as "partial 16S ribosomal RNA". It matches the Rfam family "Bacterial small subunit ribosomal RNA", at positions 28 to 507 of the family's 1533-position model. The record is from RNAcentral.